AUCAUGGUGGGUGUGGAGGAGUAGGGGAGGGUGGGAAGGGGAGAUGUUAGGAAGGAGCGUUCAGGUGAUGGUGGAAUGGAGUCGGCCUUCACUGCCUACCGUUGCUUUCCGGUCGUCGUGCCCCAUCCCCAAUCUUGGCUGCACAUCUAUCUUUCUCCUCUAUUUUUCUUGCCCCUUGAUUUCCACCUGGUUCUUUGAUAAUCUGAUUUUGAUUUCUCAAUUUAUAUUUUUUUUCUAAAUAAGAUGUGUGCAGAUCCAAUGAAGAAGACAAGAGGAAGACUGAAGAACAAGCGAAUCUGGGCAGAGGUAGGGGAAAGUGAGGGUCAGAAGAGCAAGGUCUUGUCAAGAGAUAGAAAUAGAAUGCUUGGAGGUGUACCGCAGGAAGGUGGACGAUGCCAAUCAGACCAGGGUCCAGCUGCACCUGUCUGUGGCCACUUAAAGAAGCUAAGGUUGCAUUGUUAGUGGCAACUCUAGGGGAGCACAAGCUGUAUAUCAAGCCGCUUUCAGGACCGGGACGCCAUCAACACCCUCCUCGCCGACCUCCGCUCGAUGGCCUUCCGCGUGGCACUGCCGCCCCCUCCUCCGGAGUCCGAUUGAGCUUGCUACAUGUGGUGCUUUUUUGUGUUUUUUCAUUUGGGGCUUGUUAAGCUGUGCUCUCAGUAUUGAACCUUGUACUCGGAUUGGGGCGUGCCCCCUUGUGUGUGUGUUUAUUAUCUGAACUAUGUUGGA
Triticum urartu is the source of this 729-nucleotide non-coding RNA. NCBI's taxonomy places the organism in Eukaryota, Viridiplantae, Streptophyta, Magnoliopsida, Poales, Poaceae. The record is from RefSeq and is a predicted model, not a curated record.